RNAcentral lists this ribosomal RNA (478 nucleotides) under Botrytis cinerea. Its description in RNAcentral is "eukaryotic LSU rRNA". It matches the Rfam family "Eukaryotic large subunit ribosomal RNA", at positions 83 to 564 of the family's 3401-position model. The record is from RNAcentral. Lineage: Eukaryota; Fungi; Ascomycota; Leotiomycetes; Helotiales; Sclerotiniaceae.
GUAACGGCGAGUGAAGCGGUAAAAGCUCAAAUUUGAAAUCUGGCUCUUUUAGAGUCCGAAUUGUAAUUUGUAGAAGAUGCUUCGGGUGUGGUUCCGGUCUAAGUUCCUUGGAACAGGACGUCAUAGAGGGUGAGAAUCCCGUAUGUGACUGGAUACCUAUGCUCAUGUGAAGCUCUUUCGACGAGUCGAGUUGUUUGGGAAUGCAGCUCAAAAUGGGAGGUAUAUUUCUUCUAAAGCUAAAUAUUGGCCAGAGACCGAUAGCGCACAAGUAGAGUGAUCGAAAGAUGAAAAGCACUUUGGAAAGAGAGUUAAACAGUACGUGAAAUUGUUGAAAGGGAAGCGCUUGCAAUCAGACUUGCACUUGGUGUUCAUCAGGGUCUCGUACCCUGUGUACUUCAUCAAGUUCAGGCCAGCAUCAGUUUGAGUGGUUAGAUAAAGGCUUAGAGAAUGUGGCCCUCUUCGGGGGGUGUUAUAGCUC